This 4747-nucleotide small RNA is filed under the name Histoplasma capsulatum. Its description in RNAcentral is "hypothetical RNA". Lineage: Eukaryota; Fungi; Ascomycota; Eurotiomycetes; Onygenales; Ajellomycetaceae. The record is from RNAcentral.
UCCACCAUCAUAGCUUCUGGUAAGUAUUACCCCCUCUCCCAAUAUAUAUUAUAUUUGCCCUCAACCCUACCGACCGCCCUGUCCUCUUCGCUGUAAUCUUGUGACGUUAUUCUGCACGAAACCUGUUAACUACAGAGAGGUCAGCCUCUCUGUAGGCGCUUUUCCAGCAACGCCAAAGCAAAUCUCUUAAUUGAGAAACACCAGACCCCCCGUAUGCUAACGCAUAGUGUCAGGCUUGUUAAUUUUCAUCAUCGAACCUAGGUUCUCAGAUCGUAACAAGGUUUUUUUUUAUCAUCAUUCACUGGGGGAAACUAUUGAGUACGAAACUGUUUGAUCGUACCUGAGAGUAUGAUGAAAGAGCAUAAACCAACAGAUAAUUUCGAUUGGCCUUCCUAUCCUUCCUAUUUCAAAACUUCACGUUCUUUCGCGAAUGUUUUGAGUGUGUCAGUGAUUAGGACAGUCCUUGGUUCAAUUUUCUGACUCUCCACCUCACCAAUCCGUUAUUCAGCUUGAUUUUGUAUAACUUCUAUCCUUCCUAUUUCAAAACUUCACGUUCUUUCGCGAAUGUUUUGAGUGUGUCAGUGAUUAGGACAGUCCUUGGUUCAAUUUUCUGACUCUCCACCUCACCAAUCCGUUAUUCAGCUUGAUUUUGUAUAACUUUCUACAUGUAAGAAGGAUAUCAGCAUCCGCCAAAUGGUCUGAGAGGGAGCGAGGAGUUGGGUGAAAUUACCUCAUUACAAUGUUUCCCACCUUGGACAUUAGCAAAUCCACGCAUUAUCUGAUGAGGGCAGUCUAACAUGGAUGCCCUCGGGUGUCCUCCUGAGGGCAGGAAGAUAGCCCUGCCAACCUCAGAUACGAUAGCUAUUGAUUGGAAACAUGUUUAAGGGAUGGUUUGUACAUGUGUGUACAUGUGCAUCAACUCGGCCAGCUAACUUGGCCCGUCCUAACCCUACUCAAGGAGAUGGGGACGGAGGAUGCUGAAAUACCAAUAGAUGAGUGAAGAUGAAAGAGGAGAAAAUCCGGGACGGGGGAGCUCAGCUUUAUACCCUUUGUUUUCUUGUGCUUUUGGAAGGUGCUGAGCAUCACAAAUGGAUGUUUUUAUUUAUAUGAUACAGAAGCUCGGCAAGAGCGACCAUGGAUACAAAACCUGCUCAAUAUCUGGAGGGCAGGUAUGUAUGUACGGAGGUACGUAAAUGUUGUCUACGCCGAGGGUGCUCCUUUCUAUUUGGGACUUUUACCAAUCAUGAACAGCCUCCUGGGCAUGAAUCCGAAGAUCCGAAGGAGCUCCAACAACAUUUUAUUCCUUGUCUAAGGGCAAGAAACAUCGGAGCGUGAAUUCCCAUAAUGUACUGAACAUACCUAUUGGGUGGUUGGGGAGAGAGUUAUCCACCUGUGGACCUAGAGCACCUACAGAUGUUCUUUAAUUUUCUUAAUGUUAUGGUGACGACUGCUUUCUGCCACUGUUAUGUGACACUCUCUGGUGUCAUACGCACAAACAUUCAAAUAAGCCCGUUCUUCUCCUUCCUUCCCUUUUCGUUGGUUGUGGGUCAGAUGGCUCCUGGUCGAAUAAUGAUAUUUGAGCAAUCGUUUUGACAAUACGCCUACUUGACUAGGUACGGUACUUGGAUCAAUGGCUCUCUGGUACAAACAGGACAUGUGGCUCUUUGUACUGUACAUCACAUCACCUCUUGUCUCUUCAACUGAAAAUACUGACAGACCUGUACUCGCAUCUUCUUCUCCUUCCUGUGACUCCUUCCUCUUAUCCGUCAACAGUUGGUCAGACCAAAUUCAAAAGUAUCUUUUGAAAUAAGACCCCCGGCUCUCGACCUGUCUUCGACAGGCAGGAAAGCCGCCCUCGAGCAGCGACUCCAGACAGCUAAGGAGCAGUCAGCAACGCCCGAUUCGCCACUGACAACACCUGACGGCCACUGUGACGCACUUGCGGCAGCGAGAAUCGAAGUCGGAGACCCGACCAUAAUGAUUGAACAUGCUGAAGAGGCCUUAUUGCACUCAAUCAACAAAGAUCAGUCACAGUUUACCAUGGUCAAAGGAAACCCCGUAUUCGCGAAUACGCGUCUCAUCCCCCCAACAAUCCGCCAUCCUCUCCCUGUAGCACUUAACGGAGUGCUGCACCACCAUCGCUCAUUUAGGGAGGGGCAACGGCACAUGCCCUUGCCACAAGGAGUCCCCCUCCCCAUUCCUCCCCUUACCAACGAGGCGACCAAUCCUCCACGGUCGGGGGCACCUCCUCUCCCCCCUCCACCGAUGCCAAAGCACGCCAACCGCCCGAGUAUACGCCUCAGGCGUCUUCGGUACCUCUUCCACCGCUUUCCUACCAACCCCCCAACAACCCCCCGCCGAUUCUCCCACCGAUCCCCCGGAGCUCCAACCCCCAAGAAUCCCCAUAUCCUCCUCCUCGACCCCUUCCACCUCCUUCUCAACCUCCUUCUCUUCAUCGUGCACCCAUGCACCAGGAGCAGGCACAACCACGGCCUCCAUUGCCUGCAUACCCCCAGGCACAGCAGCAGCCCGGCGGCGGGACCAGAGGGAAUUAGCUCCCACCCGCCACCCCGCAGAAAAUAAACGCGCGCCCAUGCAUGGCGCACCUCAAUAGAGGUGGAUCACACACCUAGCAUAAUUGUCAGCAUAUCUGUAUUGCUUAAGACGCGACUUACCUAUAUAAAAUGCUGCCUUGUGCCAUCUGGGAAAAUAACAGGUUAAAAGGGGAAUACUCACAGGGUUGCAGGUUUCCCCUGCAGAGGCACAUGUCCCACAACACUUUCAGGUCUUAGGCCCAAAAACACACCACAAAUCGACAUCUCUCAAUUUGGGGACGCAGCCCAAGCAUAUGCUCUCGAUGGUGGACAGCAUAUCAACCUCCAUAGGCUCCGAGCCAGCAACAGAGACAGCUGGUUCGGAUAUUCUAUCAUUAUUAUCUUGAUCAGCACGAGAACCUUAUACAAAAGGGGAGAAGGAACAAAAAUACAGCAGGGAACGAACAAAUGUUGAUGGUUGAACCCCAUGAACCCCAUAUUCCAAAAUCCUUGGAGGGAAUUCAACAACACAAAAUCGACCUAGAACAAAAAAAGCAACCACGCAACCACGCAACCACACAACCACACAACCAAAACUUUGAACUUCGCAGUAAAAUUCACAUAGGAGGAUAAGACUCACUUUUUCUCGAUAAACUGGUAUAUUCUUUUUAAAUAAAAAAUCGUUUAGUGGUGCUGGUGGUAAUUUGGAGGUAAUAGGUUUUUUGUGUGGAAAGUUAAAGAUAGGGGUUCAGGGGAUGUUACUAUUGGACGGCAGCAACACCAGAACUGGAAAACCUAUCAUCCAAACCCACAACACUUCGGAUAUAUUUCCCGAUAUUAUUCCGAUUUCAAUGCUGCGAGUUCUAUAUAACACCAACUACGCAACUACCAAUACAAACUUCACACAUUAUGGAUAAGGGGACCAGGCCUUUGAAGAAGGGAGAUAAUUGUAAUAGGGAAUUACAGAGAUAUCUAUAUUUAGAAGUGGCAAAGAAGCGUUCAAAGAUGAUGGAACCCCAUGGAAGUAGAUGGUGGGAACAUUAUCUAUAAAAUGCUCGCUGAUAUCCGCAGUUUCUGGGAGAUCAGCGAUUAGCUUUGAAUCAGAUAUUGUUAUCUUAGCAUGUUCCUACAUUAGGACAGUAUGCUGAAGGCAGCCCUGACGAAUCCUGGUCGAUUAACCCCUAUCAAAACAGAAAUGCAUUUCAUAUGCAGGCAGGUGUGCUAUGUGCAAUCUAGGCUACAUUUAGAGAAGUUACUGGAGCAAAGCAAAUGGGCACAGUGAUGGCCGGUCUAGAAUCUGCUCCUGUUUGAACUUGCUUACCAGCUAUCGACGGGGGCAAGUCGGCAAAAAGUUGCCAAAAGAGCAUAGCAAAAGUAGCCGGACUUGAAGCGAUCGGCUUCUAUCAACGUGGAUUUGUUACUCAUUACCAUCAAGCAGCUAGCCGAGCAAUUUGGCACAAAGCCCUUAGGGCAUUUUAUCCAGGUUUGUUUAAAUAUAACUAUAACUAUAUAUAUAACAUCACAUAACCAACACAGUUGUAACAAUAUCUACUAUCAGUACACAUACAGAUAAGGCCAUAGUGACAGUGUCGAAGUUCGUUCUCUCUCUAUACUUUCUUUUCUCAUCAAAACACUUCAAGAUAAUUCUUCUGAUACAUAGACAGAGCAUUGAAGAGUAUAGAGAAUUAUUUUCAGAACUCAGAUAUGAAAAUAAGUGUAACAGCAGGCCUUCUGGCACUGCUGAAAACUAAAGGUGCCAGGGGACCCUCUUGUCAUCCUUUGAGCAUCACUUAACUGCUCGGCUAGUGGUGAUCAUGACGGAAUAGGUGGAUUGGAGGCUCUGAGCCGAAGACACAAUGUAAAUAAAUUUUAAUUCAAUAAUAUAGCCGCCCACGACGCAAACGAACUGCAGCAGAUAUUUCGACGACCCUUCUUCCGCUCUGCAACAGUCGUCUAUCAUCUGGCAUAUCGACUAGUAAGUAGCAAGGAAGCUCAGCAUCGGGUUAGAGACCGGUGCCAUAUUGUAUCGUUCGCUGAUUGGAUGAUUGGGCCCGCCAUACGAUGCUAGUUCAAGCUAGAAUCUCGAAAAUACUACCACUAACUAUUCAUAGCAAUCGCUUCAAAUCCUAUAUUGAACGCAGCGUCAUUCGGAAGUAGCGGGAUGGAAAACAAGUUGCUCAGGGGUACACGGGAUUCAUUGAACAGGGAGGGGC